This 420-nucleotide ribosomal RNA is filed under the name uncultured bacterium. RNAcentral's name for it is "partial 16S ribosomal RNA". It matches the Rfam family "Bacterial small subunit ribosomal RNA", at positions 361 to 773 of the family's 1533-position model. The record is from RNAcentral.
AUAUUUGACAAUUGGGGCAACCCUGAUCCAGCCAUGCCGCGUGUGUGAAUAAGGUCUUCGGAUUGUAAAGCACUUUAAGUUGGGAGGAAGGGCUUUAGGUUAAUACCCUGAAGUUUUGACGUUACCAACAGAAUAAGCACCGGCUAACUCUGUGCCAGCAGCCGCGGUAAUACAGAGGGUGCAAGCGUUAAUCGGAAUUACUGGGCGUAAAGCGGGCGUAGGUGGGUCAGUAAGAUGGGUGUGAAAUACCCGGGCUUAACCUGGGAACUGCUUUCAUAACUGCUGAGCUAGGGUACGGUAGAGAGUAGUGGAAUUUCCUGUGUAGCGGUGAAAUGCGUAGAUAUAGGAAGGAACACCAGUGGCGAAGGCGACUACCUGGACUAAUACUGACACUGAGGUGCGAAAGCGUGGGGAGCAAAC